RNAcentral lists this ribosomal RNA (1327 nucleotides) under metagenome. RNAcentral's name for it is "bacterial SSU rRNA". It matches the Rfam family "Bacterial small subunit ribosomal RNA", at positions 14 to 1388 of the family's 1533-position model. The record is from RNAcentral.
GGAUCCUGGCUCAGGAUGAACGCUGGCGGCGUGCUUAACACAUGCAAGUCGAACGAGCCUUCGGGCUAGUGGCGGACGGGUGAGUAACGCGUGAGAAUCUGCCCUCAGGAGGGGGAUAACGGCUGGAAACGGCCGCUAAUACCCCAUAUGCCGCGAGGUGAAACGAGUUUUCGCCUGAGGAUGAGCUCGCGUCUGAUUAGCUAGUUGGUGGGGUAAGAGCCUACCAAGGCAUCGAUCAGUAGCUGGUCUGAGAGGAUGAUCAGCCACACUGGGACUGAGACACGGCCCAGACUCCUACGGGAGGCAGCAGUGGGGAAUUUUCCGCAAUGGGCGCAAGCCUGACGGAGCAACGCCGCGUGAGGGAUGAAGGCCUCUGGGCUGUAAACCUCUUUUCUCAAGGAAGAAGAACUGACGGUACUUGAGGAAUAAGCCACGGCUAAUUCCGUGCCAGCAGCCGCGGUAAUACGGGAGUGGCAAGCGUUAUCCGGAAUUAUUGGGCGUAAAGCGUCCGCAGGCGGUCUUGAAAGUCUGUUGUUAAAGCGUGGAGCUCAACUCCAUUUCAGCAAUGGAAACUAGAAGACUAGAGUGUGGUAGGGGCAGAGGGAAUUCCCGGUGUAGCGGUGAAAUGCGUAGAUAUCGGGAAGAACACCAGUGGCGAAGGCGCUCUGCUGGGCCAUAACUGACGCUCAUGGACGAAAGCCAGGGGAGCGAAAGGGAUUAGAUACCCCUGUAGUCCUGGCCGUAAACGAUGAACACUAGGUGUCGGGGGAAUCGACCCCCUCGGUGUCGUAGCUAACGCGUUAAGUGUUCCGCCUGGGGAGUACGCACGCAAGUGUGAAACUCAAAGGAAUUGACGGGGGCCCGCACAAGCGGUGGAGUAUGUGGUUUAAUUCGAUGCAACGCGAAGAACCUUACCAGGGUUUGACAUCCUGCGAAUCUUUUGGAAACAGAAGAGUGCCUUCGGGAGCGCAGAGACAGGUGGUGCAUGGCUGUCGUCAGCUCGUGUCGUGAGAUGUUGGGUUAAGUCCCGCAACGAGCGCAACCCACGUCUUUAGUUGCCAGCAUUAAGUUGGGCACUCUAGAGAGACCGCCGGUGAUAAACCGGAGGAAGGUGUGGAUGACGUCAAGUCAUCAUGCCCCUUACAUCCUGGGCUACACACGUACUACAAUGCUACGGACAAAGGGCAGCAAACUCGCGAGAGCUAGCAAAUCCCAUAAACCGUGGCUCAGUUCAGAUCGUAGGCUGCAACUCGCCUACGUGAAGGAGGAAUCGCUAGUAAUCGCAGGUCAGCAUACUGCGGUGAAUACGUUCCCGGGCCUUGUACAC